AGAGUUUGAUCCUGGCUCAGGAUGAACGCUGGCGGCGUGCCUAACACAUGCAAGUCGAACGGCAGGCGUCCCUUCGGGGUCGCCGAGAGUGGCGCACGGGUGCGUAACGCGUAUGCAACCCACCCGCCGCCGGGGGAUAGCCCGGGGAAAUCCGGAUUAACCCCCCAUGAGGAGCGGACGAGGCAUCUCGUCCGUUUCAAAACCACGGUGGCGGCGGACGGGCAUGCGUGCCAUUAGAUAGUUGGCGGGGCGACGGCCCACCAAGUCGACGAUGGCUAGGGGAUCUGAGAGGACGGUCCCCCACACUGGUACUGAGACACGGACCAGACUCCUACGGGAGGCAGCAGUAAGGGAUAUUGGUCAAUGGGGGGAACCCUGAACCAGCCAUGCCGCGUGAGGGAGUGAGGCCCUACGGGUCGUGAACCUCUUUUGCCGGGGGAUAAGGGCGCCCACGCGUGGGCGUUUGAAGGUACCCGGAGAAUAAGCAUCGGCUAAUUCCGUGCCAGCAGCCGCGGUAAUACGGAAGGUCCGGGCGUUAUCCGGAUUUAUUGGGUUUAAAGGGAGCGUAGGCCGGAGAUUAAGCGUGUUGUGAAAUGUAGAGGCUCAACCUCUGCACUGCAGCGCGAACUGGUCUUCUUGAGUACGCACAACGUGGGCGGAAUUCGUGGUGUAGCGGUGAAAUGCUUAGAUAUCACGAAGAACUCCGAUUGCGAAGGCAGCUCACGGGAGCGCAACUGACGCUGAAGCUCGAAAGUGCGGGUAUCGAACAGGAUUAGAUACCCUGGUAGUCCGCACGGUAAACGGAUGGAUGCCCGCUGUUGGCCUGAAUAGGUCAGCGGCCAAGCGAAAGCAUUAAGCAUCCCACCUGGGGAGUACGCCGGCAACGGUGAAACUCAAAGGAAUUGACGGGGGCCCGCACAAGCGGAGGAACAUGUGGUUUAAUUCGAUGAUACGCGAGGAACCUUACCCGGGCUUGAAUUGCAGAGGAAGGAUUUGGAGACAAUGACGCCCUUCGGGGUCUCUGUGAAGGUGCUGCAUGGUUGUCGUCAGCUCGUGCCGUGAGGUGUCGGCUUAAGUGCCAUAACGAGCGCAACCCCUCUCCUUAGUUGCCAUCAGGUUAAGCUGGGCACUCUGGGGACACUGCCACCGCAAGGUGUGAGGAAGGUGGGGAUGACGUCAAAUCAGCACGGCCCUUACGUCCGGGGCUACACACGUGUUACAAUGGGGCAUACAGAGCGUCGGCGUGUCGCAAGACGCGUCUAAUCGUCAAACUGUCCCUCAGUUCGGAUUGGGGUCUGCAACCCGACCCCAUGAAGCUGGAUUCAAUAGUAAUCGCGCAUCAGCCAUGGCGCGGUGAAUACGU
This 1363-nucleotide ribosomal RNA is filed under the name uncultured bacterium. RNAcentral describes it as "bacterial SSU rRNA". It matches the Rfam family "Bacterial small subunit ribosomal RNA", at positions 8 to 1371 of the family's 1533-position model. The record is from RNAcentral.